RNAcentral lists this ribosomal RNA (773 nucleotides) under uncultured Neocallimastigales. RNAcentral's name for it is "partial large subunit ribosomal RNA". It matches the Rfam family "Eukaryotic large subunit ribosomal RNA", at positions 24 to 644 of the family's 3401-position model. The record is from RNAcentral. Lineage: Eukaryota; Fungi; Neocallimastigomycota; Neocallimastigomycetes; Neocallimastigales.
UAUCUCUGUAGAGUCUGCAUAUCAAUAAGCGGAGGAAAAGAAACUAACAAGGAUUCCCUUAGUAACGGCGAGUGAAGCGGGAAGAGCUCAAAUUUGAAAUCUUCAAGGUUCUACCUUGACGAAUUGUAGUUUAAAGAAGUGUUUUCUGUUAGAUGAGUAGCAAAAGUUCCUUGGAAUGGGACAUCAUAGAGGGUGAGAAUCCCGUAUUUGGUUAUUCAUUCUAGCUUUGUGAUACACUUUCAAAGAGUCGGAUUGUUUGGGAAUGCAGUCCAAAAUGGGUGGUAAAUUUCAUCUAAAGCUAAAUAUUGGCGAGAGACCGAUAGCGAACAAGUACCGUGAGGGAAAGAUGAAAAGAACUUUGAAAAGAGAGUUAAACAGUACGUGAAAUUGUCAAAAGGGAAGCGUUUGACACCAGUGUUGUUUUUCCAAAAUCAAUUACGAAUGGCUUGAUUUUGUGUUGUAUUGACCUUAUCAGCUUUCUUCACUUUUUUCGAGUCUUUCUUAAUGCACUUUUCGGUUAACAAGUCAACAUCAAUUUCUUUUGUUGUAAAAGAGUAUUCGGAAGGUGGCUUUCUUUUCGGAGAAAGUGUUUAUAGCCCUAUACUUCUACAAUCGGAGAGAUUGAGGUCUGCAGCGUAGAUCCUUCGGGGUUAGAUACACUUGUGCUAAGUUGUAGCUUUUCAUAGACAACUUGUUGACUAUGUUUAGUCAUGCGGCUUACUCGCUUGUGCUAUUUUACCUACGCUUAGGAUGUUGAACUACUGAGACAUAGA